Salarias fasciatus (jewelled blenny) is the source of this 365-nucleotide long non-coding RNA. RefSeq lists it as uncharacterized. The transcript has 3 exons. Lineage: Eukaryota; Metazoa; Chordata; Actinopteri; Blenniiformes; Blenniidae. The record is from RefSeq and is a predicted model, not a curated record.
GUGGACAGGUACUGCCCCUGCGACGCUCUCGGGGAUGUGUGUGACAUUAACUGCUGCUGUGACAGAGACUGCAGCAGUGAGGACGUGUCUCUGUUCAGCAGCUGCUCGGUCCAGACCGUCAGCGGCAGCCGGCAGCUGUGCAGCCGAGACGUGGCGUCCUACUCCCUGAGGAGCACCGAGGAGGGAUACUCCGAGCUGCAGGCGUCCGUCCGACAGCAGAGCAGCAGUGACGCUCUGUGUGUCCAGUCGCAGAACCGCUUCGACGGGUUGUCCCACUCCUCACUGGCUAUUCCCACCGACAGAAGCUUUGAGGGGCUCUUCCAGCAGUUCACCAGCUUCAUGUUUGGCUCAGAGAGCAGCGAUCA